AGUCAUGAGAGAGAGACACUAAAAUGUCCUAUUUAUCUACAGAACAGGUACAACAUGGGCAGCAGCAGUACCAACUUCCCAUGUUGCUUUGUCAAUGUACCUUGAUUUUCACCUGAGAGGACUUUGAGAAGUUAGUUUAUCCUCAGUGUCUAAUCUUUGGCUUCUGUGGUUAAA
Molecule: unclassified non-coding RNA, 174 nt
Organism: Chrysemys picta bellii (western painted turtle)
Lineage: Eukaryota; Metazoa; Chordata; Testudines; Emydidae
Source: Ensembl